RNAcentral lists this ribosomal RNA (468 nucleotides) under uncultured bacterium. RNAcentral describes it as "partial 16S ribosomal RNA". It matches the Rfam family "Bacterial small subunit ribosomal RNA", at positions 28 to 507 of the family's 1533-position model. The record is from RNAcentral.
GACGAACGCUGGCGGCGUGCUUAACACAUGCAAGUCGAACGGAAAGGCCCUGCUUUUGUGGGGUACUCGAGUGGCGAACGGGUGAGUAACACGUGAGUAACCUGCCCUUGACUUUGGGAUAACUUCAGGAAACUGGGGCUAAUACCGGAUAGGAGCUCCUGCUGCAUGGUGGGGGUUGGAAAGUUUCGGCGGUUGGGGAUGGACUCGCGGCUUAUCAGCUUGUUGGUGGGGUAGUGGCUUACCAAGGCUUUGACGGGUAGCCGGCCUGAGAGGGUGACCGGCCACAUUGGGACUGAGAUACGGCCCAGACUCCUACGGGAGGCAGCAGUGGGGAAUAUUGCACAAUGGGCGGAAGCCUGAUGCAGCAACGCCGCGUGCGGGAUGACGGCCUUCGGGUUGUAAACCGCUUUCGCCUGUGACGAAGCGUGAGUGACGGUAAUGGGUAAAGAAGCACCGGCCAACUACGUG